This 435-nucleotide ribosomal RNA is filed under the name uncultured bacterium. Its description in RNAcentral is "bacterial SSU rRNA". It matches the Rfam family "Bacterial small subunit ribosomal RNA", at positions 29 to 462 of the family's 1533-position model. The record is from RNAcentral.
AGUGAACGCUGGCGGCAGGCCUAACACAUGCAAGUCGAACGGCAGCACGGCAGUAGCAAUACUGUGGGUGGCGAGUGGCGGACGGGUGAGGAAUACAUCGGGAUCUACCCUGUUGUGGGGGAUAACGUAGGGAAACUUACGCUAAUACCGCAUAAGAACUGAGGUUGAAAGCGGCGGACCGCAAGGCGUCGCGCGAUUGGAUGAACCGAUGUCCGAUUAGCUAGUUGGCGGGGUAAAGGCCCACCAAGGCGACGAUCGGUAGCUGGUCUGAGAGGACGACCAGCCACACUGGAACUGAGACACGGUCCAGACUCCUACGGGAGGCAGCAGUGGGGAAUAUUGGACAAUGGGCGCAAGCCUGAUCCAGCCAUGCCGCGUGGGUGAAGAAGGCCUCGGUUGUAAGCCUUUGUCCGAAGAAAGACAUCGUAUACCGGU